ACUGUGAGGAAGAUUCUCAAUGACCCUUCCACCAGCACUGGCCUCUGAAGACUUGCCUACGAUGUCUCCUGGACUAUGCAACUCCUGGUUCUACCAUAAGGGGAAAUAGUUUCAAUACGGAUUCAGCGGUCCUGGAUCGGGAAGAGGAUGGAGACGGGAGGACGGAAGUGGCGCAGAUGGAAGAAAGAGCAGGCUGUGAAGAGAAGGGGGCGCCGUCCCUCUCUUA
Mustela lutreola (European mink) is the source of this 226-nucleotide long non-coding RNA. RefSeq lists it as uncharacterized. NCBI's taxonomy places the organism in Eukaryota, Metazoa, Chordata, Mammalia, Carnivora, Mustelidae. The record is from RefSeq and is a predicted model, not a curated record. The transcript is spliced from 3 exons.